Molecule: transfer RNA, 89 nt
Filed under: Peptoclostridium litorale DSM 5388
Lineage: Bacteria; Bacillati; Bacillota; Clostridia; Peptostreptococcales; Peptoclostridiaceae
Description: tRNA-Leu
Rfam family: tRNA
About the family: Transfer RNA (tRNA) molecules are approximately 80 nucleotides in length.
Source: RNAcentral
GCCGAAGUGGCGGAAUUGGCAGACGCACAGGACUUAAAAUCCUGCGGUUUGAAAGAAUCGUGCCGGUUCGAUCCCGGCCUUCGGCACCA